RNAcentral lists this ribosomal RNA (1373 nucleotides) under uncultured bacterium. Its description in RNAcentral is "bacterial SSU rRNA". It matches the Rfam family "Bacterial small subunit ribosomal RNA", at positions 28 to 1381 of the family's 1533-position model. The record is from RNAcentral.
GAUGAACGCUGGCGGCGUGCCUAAUACAUGCAAGUCGAGCGAACGGACGAGAAGCUUGCUUCUCUGAUGUUAGCGGCGGACGGGUGAGUAACACGUGGAUAACCUACCUAUAAGACUGGGAUAACUUCGGGAAACCGGAGCUAAUACCGGAUAAUAUUUUGAACCGCAUGGUUCAAAAGUGAAAGACGGUCUUGCUGUCACUUAUAGAUGGAUCCGCGCUGCAUUAGCUAGUUGGUAAGGUAACGGCUUACCAAGGCAACGAUGCAUAGCCGACCUGAGAGGGUGAUCGGCCACACUGGAACUGAGACACGGUCCAGACUCCUACGGGAGGCAGCAGUAGGGAAUCUUCCGCAAUGGGCGAAAGCCUGACGGAGCAACGCCGCGUGAGUGAUGAAGGUCUUCGGAUCGUAAAACUCUGUUAUUAGGGAAGAACAUAUGUGUAAGUAACUGUGCACAUCUUGACGGUACCUAAUCAGAAAGCCACGGCUAACUACGUGCCAGCAGCCGCGGUAAUACGUAGGUGGCAAGCGUUAUCCGGAAUUAUUGGGCGUAAAGCGCGCGUAGGCGGUUUUUUAAGUCUGAUGUGAAAGCCCACGGCUCAACCGUGGAGGGUCAUUGGAAACUGGAAAACUUGAGUGCAGAAGAGGAAAGUGGAAUUCCAUGUGUAGCGGUGAAAUGCGCAGAGAUAUGGAGGAACACCAGUGGCGAAGGCGACUUUCUGGUCUGUAACUGACGCUGAUGUGCGAAAGCGUGGGGAUCAAACAGGAUUAGAUACCCUGGUAGUCCACGCCGUAAACGAUGAGUGCUAAGUGUUAGGGGGUUUCCGCCCCUUAGUGCUGCAGCUAACGCAUUAAGCACUCCGCCUGGGGAGUACGACCGCAAGGUUGAAACUCAAAGGAAUUGACAGGGACCCGCACAAGCGGUGGAGCAUGUGGUUUAAUUCGAAGCAACGCGAAGAACCUUACCAAAUCUUGACAUCCUUUGACAACUCUAGAGAUAGAGCCUUCCCCUUCGGGGGACAAAGUGACAGGUGGUGCAUGGUUGUCGUCAGCUCGUGUCGUGAGAUGUUGGGUUAAGUCCCGCAACGAGCGCAACCCUUGUCUUAUGUUGCCAGCGUUUGGUUGGGGACUCAUGAGAGACUGCCGGGGUCAACUCGGAGGAAGGUGGGGAUGACGUCAAAUCAUCAUGCCCCUUAUGUCCAGGGCUUCACACAUGCUACAAUGGUCGGUACAACGCGCAGCGACACUGUGAGGUGGAGCGAAUCGCUGAAAGCCGGCCUUAGUUCGGAUUGGGGUCUGCAACUCGACCCCAUGAAGUCGGAGUCGCUAGUAAUCGCAGAUCAGCAACGCUGCGGUGAAUACGUUCCCGGGCCU